UUCGAGUUCUUGGCGUAAAACGGACGUUAAUACCGGUGGAGGAAAAAAGUUUUAAAGGCAACUAAAUAUUGUUAUUUAAACGCAGUGUAUUAAACUAAAUAUAAAACAAAUUGUUUGUUUAACAAACAAACUUUUUUGGCAUAAACAAAAAAAUGUGAAAAAACGACAAAACAAACAGUGUAAAGGAAACAUAAUAAAGUGUGUUUGUGUGUGUUAAUAAAUUUGCUGAUAAGUCAUGGUAACAAUAAAAUUUUUAUUGUCUGUGGUUGUAAUUUAAGUGCAUCUUGGAAUAGAGCAACAAAAAAACUUAAAUAAAUAAUAAGUAAAGUGUUAAAACAAAAUGCCGAAAAUAUAAAGUUUUUUUUUUUUUGCAAAAUAGUAAUAAGCAGCCAAAAAAUUAAUGUGCGGAAACACGUUGUAUUUGUUUUGGUUUAAAUUGUACUAAUUAACUAGAAAAAUAAAAUUCUUAAAAAAAUAAAAUAAUUUAUCAAUGAAAUAUUAAAAAAACGAAAUUACUUUCAAUUACCAGCUGUUGGUUAUAAUUCAAUAUAUUUACAAUUGAUAACAGUUAAAAAAAAUAUUACUUACUACUGAUUAAUGUCUAUUCAUUUAUUACUAUCAGAAGCAAAAAAAAAAAAAAAACAAUUUAAAAAAUUAAAAAAAAUAUGCAGAUCUAAUAAAAAAUAAACAAGUGCAAAAGUUUAAUAAAUAAAAAUUUUAAUAAUAAAUAAAAAAAUACAUAGUUAUACAUGUGUGUUAAACUUUAUUAAAUAACAACUGUGUAUAUAACAAAUUUUUAAUAAAUUCAUUAAAUAAUUGAAGUGUUGAAAUCUACAUUUCAAAUCUAAUAUAUUCAAAAGAAAUUGUGAAUUUAAUUAAUUGAAGUGUUAGUUUUAAACAAUUGUAAUUGAAAGCAACAUUUUCAACAACCAUUAAGGAUUUCAUUUAAAUAUUAAAUAAAUUUGAUUUAAUGUCGAUUAAAAUAACUCUUUAACAAUCGAAUCACUGAUACUGUCAGAGUUUUAGAGAUUAAAAUUGUGGUAAGUCUGUGUAAAUUUAUUACCAACUAUUAUUAAGAUUUUAAUGCAAAUAAUUUUUAAGUCGCAUAAUAAUUGUCUGAUAGUGA
Long non-coding RNA from Lucilia cuprina (Australian sheep blowfly), 1126 nucleotides. RefSeq lists it as uncharacterized. Lineage: Eukaryota; Metazoa; Arthropoda; Insecta; Diptera; Calliphoridae. The record is from RefSeq and is a predicted model, not a curated record. The transcript has 4 exons.